UCUCUUUUUCAACAAACCUUUUCAUCAAGGCAGCAUCAACACUACAUUUCAUUUGAAAACAUUGAUAAUAGUCCAUCUCUUGCCAUAAACUUUUCAACAAAUUAGCGUAUUUAGGAAUAGAACGACCUCCUUGUUUAGUUGCAGAGAUCUUGGUUUUGAUCUCAUAAAUUUGAGCAUCAUCACCCGCCUUGGAAUAGGUUUUUUCAACAGCUUCCCAUAUUUCCUCGGCUGUGGUAAGAAACAUACAUAUAUCACUGAUCUCUGGCACCAUUAAACUCCAUAGCCAGGAUAUAACCAUAGAGUCUGCUUUAUCCGAGGCUUCAAAUCUAGGAUCCCUUGGUUUGGGUCCAAUACCAAGUAGGUGACUAAUUUUAUGCUUUCCUUUUAGAAAGGUUCAAACAAACUGAGACCACUUUAAAUAAUUUUUUUUCAUUCAAUCUAUGGGUUGCUGGAAUAUUAUGCAAAUCUCUAGUUGAGGGAGUAUUUAUGAUGUCACUAAUUCGGUUGUCACUCAAUUGAGUAGGGUUGGGUUCAUCAACAAUCUCAGACAUGGUUGGAAUUUGAAAAUAAUCUCAAAAAUGGAGGAAAAAGAAUGUUGGAAAAAAAAAAUCAGCAAUGAAGGCUGAAUAAAAAGUAUUCCCAAUGGAGCCUCACAAGGCUACAAAUUAGAGACUAAAUCAAAUCCUACAAAUUAG
This 695-nucleotide long non-coding RNA is filed under the name Citrus sinensis (sweet orange). RNAcentral describes it as "long non-coding RNA (CSIN_LNC005739)". Lineage: Eukaryota; Viridiplantae; Streptophyta; Magnoliopsida; Sapindales; Rutaceae. The record is from RNAcentral.